Molecule: ribosomal RNA, 1149 nt
Filed under: Salmonella enterica
Lineage: Bacteria; Pseudomonadati; Pseudomonadota; Gammaproteobacteria; Enterobacterales; Enterobacteriaceae
Description: partial 23S ribosomal RNA
Rfam family: Bacterial large subunit ribosomal RNA
Source: RNAcentral
UAAGCCUGUGAAGGUGUGUCGUGAGGCAUGCUGGAGGUAUCAGAAGUGCGAAUGCUGACAUAAGUAACGAUAAAGCGGGUGAAAAGCCCGCUCGCCGGAAGACCAAGGGUUCCUGUCCAACGUUAAUCGGGGCAGGGUGAGUCGACCCCUAAGGCGAGGCCGAAAGGCGUAGUCGAUGGGAAACGGGUUAAUAUUCCCGUACUUGGUGUUACUGCGAAGGGGGGACGGAGAAGGCUAUGUUGGCCGGGCGACGGUUGUCCCGGUUUAAGCGUGUAGGUGUGUGUUCCAGGUAAAUCCGGUUCACUUUAACACUGAGGCGUGACGACGAGGCACUACGGUGCUGAAGCAACAAAUGCCCUGCUUCCAGGAAAAGCCUCUAAGCAUCAGGUAACAUCAAAUCGUACCCCAAACCGACACAGGUGGUCAGGUAGAGAAUACCAAGGCGCUUGAGAGAACUCGGGUGAAGGAACUAGGCAAAAUGGUGCCGUAACUUCGGGAGAAGGCACGCUGACACGUAGGUGAAGUGAUUUACUCAUGGAGCUGAAGUCAGUCGAAGAUACCAGCUGGCUGCAACUGUUUAUUAAAAACACAGCACUGUGCAAACACGAAAGUGGACGUAUACGGUGUGACGCCUGCCCGGUGCCGGAAGGUUAAUUGAUGGGGUCAGCGCAAGCGAAGCUCCUGAUCGAAGCCCCGGUAAACGGCGGCCGUAACUAUAACGGUCCUAAGGUAGCGAAAUUCCUUGUCGGGUAAGUUCCGACCUGCACGAAUGGCGUAAUGAUGGCCAGGCUGUCUCCACCCGAGACUCAGUGAAAUUGAACUCGCUGUGAAGAUGCAGUGUACCCGCGGCAAGACGGAAAGACCCCGUGAACCUUUACUAUAGCUUGACACUGAACAUUGAGCCUUGAUGUGUAGGAUAGGUGGGAGGCUUUGAAGUGUGGACGCCAGUCUGCAUGGAGCCGACCUUGAAAUACCACCCUUUAAUGUUUGAUGUUCUAACGUGGACCCGUGAUCCGGGUUGCGGACAGUGUCUGGUGGGUAGUUUGACUGGGGCGGUCUCCUCCUAAAGAGUAACGGAGGAGCACGAAGGUUGGCUAAUCCUGGUCGGACAUCAGGAGGUUAGUGCAAUGGCAUAAGCCAGCUUGACUG